Molecule: non-coding RNA, 29 nt
Filed under: Homo sapiens (human)
Lineage: Eukaryota; Metazoa; Chordata; Mammalia; Primates; Hominidae
Source: RNAcentral
UGAGGGUUUAGGGUUCAGUCUCUUAUGAA